AGUGGCGGACGGGUGAGUAACGCGUAAGAAUCUAACUUCAGGACGGGGACAACAGUGGGAAACGACUGCUAAUACCCGAUGUGCCGCAAGGUGGAACCUAAUUGGCCUGGAGAAGAGCUUGCGUCUGAUUAGCUAGUUGGUGGGGUAAAGGCCUACCAAGGCGACGAUCAGUAGCUGGUCUGAGAGGAUGAGCAGCCACACUGGGACUGAGACACGGCCCAGACUCCUACGGGAGGCAGCAGUGGGGAAUUUUCCGCAAUGGGCGAAAGCCUGACGGAGCAACGCCGCGUGAGGGAGGAAGGUCUUUGGAUUGUAAACCUCUUUUCUCAAGGAAGAAGUUCUGACGGUACUUGAGGAAUCAGCCUCGGCUAACUCCGUGCCAGCAGCCGCGGUAAUACGGGGGAGGCAAGCGUUAUCCGGAAUUAUUGGGCGUAAAGCGUCCGCAGGUGGUCAGCCAAGUCUGCCGUCAAAUCAGGUUGCUUAACGACCUAAAGGCGGUGGAAACUGGCAGACUAGAGAGCAGUAGGGGUAGCAGGAAUUCCCAGUGUAGCGGUGAAAUGCGUAGAGAUUGGGAAGAACAUCGGUGGCGAAAGCGUGCUACUGGGCUGUAUCUGACACUCAGGGACGAAAGCUAGGGGAGCGAAAGGGAUUAGAUACCCCUGUAGUCCUAGCCGUAAACGAUGGAUACUAGGCGUGGCUU
RNAcentral lists this ribosomal RNA (700 nucleotides) under uncultured bacterium. RNAcentral's name for it is "bacterial SSU rRNA". It matches the Rfam family "Bacterial small subunit ribosomal RNA", at positions 94 to 828 of the family's 1533-position model. The record is from RNAcentral.